RNAcentral lists this ribosomal RNA (399 nucleotides) under Odontoscelis fuliginosa. RNAcentral describes it as "partial 16S ribosomal RNA". The record is from RNAcentral. Lineage: Eukaryota; Metazoa; Arthropoda; Insecta; Hemiptera; Scutelleridae.
UUAAGGGAUUAUUUUUCUUAAGUCGGGCCUGCUCAAUGAUUUUUAUUAAAUAGCCGCAGUAUUUUGACUGUGCGAAGGUAGCAUAAUCAUUUGUCUUUUAAUUGAAGGCUUGUAUGAAGGGUUUGACGAAAUGCAAUCUUUCUUUGUAUCAAAUAUUGAAUUUAAUUUUUAGGUUAAAAAGCUUAAAUGUUUUUAUGGGACGAGAAGACCCUAUAGAAUUUUAUUAUUUUAUGUAUUGGAUAAUUUUGGUGUAUUUAAUUAUUUAUUAUGUAAAAUAAUUUUGUUGGGGUGACAUGGAAAUUUCUUUAACUUUCUUUACUUAUUUUAUAUUGAUUAAUAUUUUUAAGAUCCUAAGUUUAUGGAAAUAAGUUUAAAUUACCUUAGGGAUAACAGCGUAAU